GACGAACGCUGGCGGCGUGCCUAAUACAUGCAAGUCGAGCGCAGGAAGCUGGCGGAACUCUUCGGAGGGAAGGCAGUGGAAUGAGCGGCGGACGGGUGAGUAACACGUAAGGAACCUGCCUCAAGGAUUGGGAUAACUCCGAGAAAUCGGAGCUAAUACCGGAUAGUUCAACGGACCGCAUGGUCCGCUGAUGAAAGGCGCUCCGGCGUCACCUUGAGAUGGCCUUGCGGUGCAUUAGCUAGUUGGUGGGGUAACGGCCCACCAAGGCGACGAUGCAUAGCCGACCUGAGAGGGUGAUCGGCCACACUGGGACUGAGACACGACCCAGACUCCUACGGGAGGCAGCAGUAGGGAAUCUUCCACAAUGGACGAAAGUCUGAUGGAGCAACGCCGCGUGAGUGAUGAAGGUUUUCGGAUCGUAAAACUCUGUUGUAAGGGAAGAACACGUACGAGAGGAAAUGCUCGUACCUUGACGGUACCUUACGAGAAAGCCACGGCUAACUACGUGCCAGCCGCCGCCGUAA
This 524-nucleotide ribosomal RNA is filed under the name uncultured bacterium. RNAcentral describes it as "partial 16S ribosomal RNA". It matches the Rfam family "Bacterial small subunit ribosomal RNA", at positions 28 to 523 of the family's 1533-position model. The record is from RNAcentral.